This 468-nucleotide ribosomal RNA is filed under the name uncultured bacterium. RNAcentral describes it as "partial 16S ribosomal RNA". It matches the Rfam family "Bacterial small subunit ribosomal RNA", at positions 28 to 507 of the family's 1533-position model. The record is from RNAcentral.
GACGAACGGUGGCGGCGUGCUUAACACAUGCAAGUCGAACGGAAAGGCCCUGCUUUUGUGGGGUGCUCGAGUGGCGAACGGGUGAGUAACACGUGAGUAACCUGCCCUUGACUUUGGGAUAACUUCAGGAAACUGGGGCUAAUACCGGAUAGGAGCUCCUGCUGCAUGGUGGGGGUUGGAAAGUUUCGGCGGUUGGGGAUGGACCCGCGGCUUAUCAGCUUGUUGGUGGGGUAGUGGCUUACCAAGGCUUUGACGGGUAGCCGGCCUGAGAGGGUGACCGGCCACAUUGGGACUGAGAUACGGCCCAGACUCCUACGGGAGGCAGCAGUGGGGAAUAUUGCACAAUGGGCGGAAGCCUGAUGCAGCAACGCCGCGUGCGGGAUGACGGCCUUCGGGUUGUAAACCGCUUUCGCCUGUGACGAAGCGUGAGUGGCGGUAAUGGGUAAAGAAGCACCGGCUAACUACGUG